Molecule: unclassified non-coding RNA, 346 nt
Filed under: soil metagenome
Description: partial contains 5.8S ribosomal RNA, internal transcribed spacer 2, and large subunit ribosomal RNA
Rfam family: 5.8S ribosomal RNA (bases 1-120)
Source: RNAcentral
GAUGAAGAACGUAGCGAAACGCGAUAUGUAAUGUGAAUUGCAGAAUUCAGUGAAUCAUCGAAUCUUUGAACGCACAUUGCGCCCCCUGGUAUUCCGGGGGGCAUGCCUGUCCGAGCGUCAUUGCUGCCCUCAAGCACGGCUUGUGUGUUGGGCCCCGUCCUCCGAUCCCGGGGGACGGGCCCGAAAGGCAGCGGCGGCACCGCGUCCGGUCCUCGAGCGUAUGGGGCUUUGUCACCCGCUCUGUAGGCCCGGCCGGCGCUUGCCGAUCAACCCAAAUUUUUAUCCAGGUUGACCUCGGAUCAGGUAGGGAUACCCGCUGAACUUAAGCAUAUCAAUAAGCGGAGGA